RNAcentral lists this ribosomal RNA (240 nucleotides) under uncultured bacterium. RNAcentral describes it as "partial 16S ribosomal RNA". It matches the Rfam family "Bacterial small subunit ribosomal RNA", at positions 537 to 776 of the family's 1533-position model. The record is from RNAcentral.
AACGUUGUUCGGAAUCACUGGGCUUAAAGGGCGCGUAGGCGGCAGACAAAGUCCGGGGUGAAAUCUUUCGGCUUAACCGGAAAAGGGCCUUGGAUACUGGUUUGCUAGAGGGAGGUAGGGGUCUGUGGAACUUCUGGUGGAGCGGUGAAAUGCGUUGAUAUCAGAAGGAACGCCGGUGGCGAAAGCGACGGACUGGAUCUCUUCUGACGCUGAUGCGCGAAAGCCAGGGGAGCAAACGGG